ACAUUUUUUGAGAAGUCUGAUGGAGGUAUAAUGUCCACGGUCGAUUCUUUGAACAGUGUUUCUGGAGAUCAUGGGGAGUCUGCCAGUCUUGGUAACAUCAACCCUGCCUAUAGUAAUCCCUCUCUUCCACAGUCCCCUGGGGACUCAGAGGAGUACUUCGCCACUUACUUUAAUGAGAAGAUCUCCAUUCCUGAGGAGGAGAAUAAGAGGCUGAUGGAACCUGCAGGUAAGGGAAGAGCUUUGACUUGGACAGAGAAGUGGCCAGCUUCUUAAUAAAAAGUGGGUAAGAUGGAGGUGAAACUUGGACACAUGCAAUAUCUGACAUUGUAAAUCCUUUUUUCUUGUGAGGCUGGAUUUUGUUGCUUCAUAUGUGAUAACAGAUCAAUUAUAUCAGUAGUUCAAUGGUGAUGUUCAGUUUAAUCUCUUUUCCUCUCUUGUACAGUACUCUUGUUUUAGCUUUCGUAAACUCUGGGCUUUCACCGGACCAGGUUUUCUUAUGAGCAUUGCCUACCUGGAUCCAGGAAAUAUUGAAUCCGAUUUGCAGUCUGGAGCAGUGG
This 557-nucleotide small RNA is filed under the name Pan troglodytes (chimpanzee). RNAcentral describes it as "processed transcript". Lineage: Eukaryota; Metazoa; Chordata; Mammalia; Primates; Hominidae. The record is from RNAcentral.